Molecule: ribosomal RNA, 253 nt
Filed under: uncultured bacterium
Lineage: Bacteria
Description: partial 16S ribosomal RNA
Rfam family: Bacterial small subunit ribosomal RNA
Source: RNAcentral
UACGUAGGGAGCAAGCGUUGUCCGGAAUCAUUGGGCGUAAAGCGCGCGUAGGCGGCCCGAUAAGUCCGCUGUAAAAGUCAACGGCUCAACUGUUGAAAGCCGGUGGAUACUGUCGGGCUAGAGUGCGGAAGGGGCUACUGGAAUUCUCGGUGUAGCGGUGAAAUGCGUAGAUAUCGAGAGGAACACCUGCGGCGAAGGCGGGUAGCUGGGCCGACACUGACGCUGAGGCGCGAAAGCUAGGGGAGCGAACGGG